This 492-nucleotide ribosomal RNA is filed under the name uncultured bacterium. Its description in RNAcentral is "partial 16S ribosomal RNA". It matches the Rfam family "Bacterial small subunit ribosomal RNA", at positions 29 to 507 of the family's 1533-position model. The record is from RNAcentral.
AGUGAACGCUGGCGGUAGGCCUAACACAUGCAAGUCGAACGGCAGCACAGUAAGAGCUUGCUCUUACGGGUGGCGAGUGGCGGACGGGUGAGGAAUACAUCGGAAUCUACUUUUUCGUGGGGGAUAACGUAGGGAAACUUACGCUAAUACCGCAUACGACCUACGGGUGAAAGCAGGGGAUCUUCGUACCUUGCGCGAUUGAAUGAGCCGAUGUCGGAUUAGCUAGUUGGCGGGGUAAAGGCCCACCAAGGCGACGAUCCGUAGCUGGUCUGAGAGGAUGAUCAGCCACACUAGAACUGAGACACGGUCCAGACUCCUAAGGGAGGCAGCAGUGGGGAAUAUUGGACAAUAGGCGCAAGCCUGACCCAGCCAUACCGCGUGGGUGAAGAAGGCCUUCGGGUUGUAAAGCCAUUUUGUUGGGAAAAAAAAGCAGCAGGUUAAUACCCCGCUGUUCUGACGGUACCCAAAGAAUAAGCACCGGAUAACUUCGUG